This 18-nucleotide ribosomal RNA is filed under the name Ascomycota sp. r275. Its description in RNAcentral is "partial 28S ribosomal RNA". The record is from RNAcentral. Lineage: Eukaryota; Fungi; Ascomycota.
UCGACCUCGAAUCAGGUA